Molecule: long non-coding RNA, 179 nt
Organism: Perognathus longimembris pacificus (Pacific pocket mouse)
Lineage: Eukaryota; Metazoa; Chordata; Mammalia; Rodentia; Heteromyidae
Exons: 4
Source: RefSeq, a predicted model, not a curated record
UAUAUACAUGUGAAUGUAUGUGUAUGUACAUACACUGUAGAAAGAUGAAACAAACUGAACGAAAUACAUACACAACAGUAAUCAAAUCAAAUAAAAUAGGUAGUCAUAAUAGUUAGGACAAGUAGACUUGUUUUAGCCCUUAGCCUACAUAUUUGAAGCAAUAAUGAAAUACAAUUCAA